GAAGAGAAGAAACUGAAAGGUCUGUAUAGUACAUACACGACAAAACCUGUUUUACAGCUCCGGCUCACAGUCUCCUCCGUAAAGCUGAGUAUUCUCCACUCUCCCUCUUUCCACCUGUUUUCCAUUAUCAAUAAACAUACCCCUUCCGGGGUUUAAAUACUCUAUGGCCUGUUCUUCUCUGGUGUUUUGUGACAGAAGACCAGACCAUUGAACAGAAUGGAUCCUACAGCCGCUGACACCAUCCAACAGCUGGUUAGGGCGCUGCAGAGAGCAAUCCACCGCGGCUGCGCGCCUACCGCCGACCCCGGAAGGGGCAUGUCCCACCAUCCCUCCCUCUACUCCGGUUCGACUCGCCAUGGAAAUGCAACCCCACCGCUUUCCCACUGACAGGGCAAAAAUUGCGUUUAUCAUCUCGCUUUUGACUGGGAAAGCACUCCGCUGGGCUGAUUCCCUCUGGUAGCAGAACGGCCCAGUUCUUCAGUUCGUUGACGCUUUCGUCGCUUAUUUCAGAGAGGUCUUCGGCAAGCCCUUAUGGGAUACGUGUGCAGGAGAGCAACUACAGAUGUGGCAGUUAAGAAUGCGCGUCAGAGGGACAGGAAUCCCGCGACGACUCGCAGCAUUGUGCGGCAUUGCGAGUGACGCUCUCGCGCAGGAAAGACGAGACCAGUAGGCGGCAGUCGUGUUUCAUGUACAUUGAAAUCGAUCAACAUAACGUGGUGCUGCGGAGAGCAACUGGCGGAUUCAAAAGCUAUUUAAAAGAUUACAGAGCAGUCUGUUCUUGCAGUAGCUACUUUGAUGUCAUAAACUGAUCGGUCUGCGAAGCGCUGCAUGAAGUCAAACACAUUAAAUGAUGUGAUUGGAUCACGAGAUUCGUAGCAAUACGGGAUUAAAUUCUUAAUAUUUUGAGAAUAAUGUCAUUAUUUACAUUAACGUGUUUAGAGUGAUAAAUAAUAUUAGGCCUAUUUGUGUACAGUGAAAUUAAUGUAUUAAUAAAACGACUUAAUGCAUUAAGCUACGUUGAGAAUACGCAUAAAAGUGAAACUUUACUCGUUGCAUGCGCAUCUACCUGUUUUACUAAUAAGGUAGGUAUAACUUAUCUGCUUUGAACGUUACUCCAAACACGUUGAUGUAUAUGGCAUUAUAAAUAAAGCAUUACAACUUAAUCCCUAUAUUGUAUGUGUUUAAUACUGUUGCAUGAAGUCACGCACAUUAAAUGAUGUGCUUGGCCACGGCAUUUCUCUCAGAAGCAGAUUAAAACAAGCAACAAAGAGUAAA
Molecule: long non-coding RNA, 1275 nt
Organism: Hemibagrus wyckioides
Lineage: Eukaryota; Metazoa; Chordata; Actinopteri; Siluriformes; Bagridae
Exons: 2
Source: RefSeq, a predicted model, not a curated record